Molecule: ribosomal RNA, 194 nt
Filed under: uncultured bacterium
Lineage: Bacteria
Description: partial 16S ribosomal RNA
Rfam family: Bacterial small subunit ribosomal RNA
Source: RNAcentral
CCUACGGGAGGCAGCAGUGGGGAAUAUUGGACAAUGGGCGAAAGCCUGAUCCAGCCAUGCCGCGUGUGUGAAGAAGGUCUUCGGAUUGUAAAGCACUUUAAGUUGGGAGGAAGGGCAGUAAAUUAAUACUUUGCUGUUUUGACGUUACCGACAGAGUAAGCACCGGCUAACUCUGUGCCAGCAGCCGCGGUAAU